UACGUAGGGUGCGAGCGUUGUCCGGAAUUAUUGGGCGUAAAGAGCUUGUAGGUGGCUCGUUGCGUCGGGAGUGAAAACCUGCGGCUUAACCGCAGGCCUGCUUCCGAUACGGGCGAGCUAGAGUUCGGCAGGGGAGACUGGAAUUCCUGGUGUAGCGGUGGAAUGCGCAGAUAUCAGGAGGAACACCGGUGGCGAAGGCGGGUCUCUGGGCCGAUACUGACACUGAGAAGCGAAAGCGUGGGGAGCGAACAGGA
RNAcentral lists this ribosomal RNA (254 nucleotides) under uncultured bacterium. Its description in RNAcentral is "partial 16S ribosomal RNA". It matches the Rfam family "Bacterial small subunit ribosomal RNA", at positions 524 to 777 of the family's 1533-position model. The record is from RNAcentral.